Molecule: ribosomal RNA, 489 nt
Filed under: uncultured bacterium
Lineage: Bacteria
Description: partial 16S ribosomal RNA
Rfam family: Bacterial small subunit ribosomal RNA
Source: RNAcentral
GACGAACGCUGGCGGCGUGCUUAACACAUGCAAGUCGAACGGAAAGGCCCCCACCUUGGUGGGGGUGCUCGAGUGGCGAACGGGUGAAUAACACGUGGGUGAUCUGCCCUGUACUUCGGGAUAAGCUUGGGAAACUGGGUCUAAUACCGGAUAGGACCAUGGUUUAGUGUCUCAUGGUGGAAAAAUUAUUGUUUUGGUGCAGGAUGAGCUCGCGGCCUAUCAGCUUGUUGGUGGGGUAAUGGCCUACCAAGGCGUCGACGGGUAGCCGGCCUGAGAGGGUGGACGGCCACAUGGGGACUGAGAUACGGCCCAGACUCCUACGGGAGGCAGCAGUGGGGAAUAUUGCACAAUGGGCGCAAGCCUGAUGCAGCGACGCCGCGUGGGGGAUGACGGCCUUCGGGUUGUAAACUCCUUUCGUUAGGGACGAAGCCACACCUUUUUUGGGUGUGGUGACGGUACCUUUGUUAAGAAGCACCGGCUAACUACGUG